This 428-nucleotide ribosomal RNA is filed under the name uncultured bacterium. RNAcentral describes it as "bacterial SSU rRNA". It matches the Rfam family "Bacterial small subunit ribosomal RNA", at positions 355 to 776 of the family's 1533-position model. The record is from RNAcentral.
UCGAGAAUAUUUAGCAAUGGACGAAAGUCUGACUAUGCGACGCCGCGUGCAGGAUGAAGGUCUUCGGAUUGUAAACUGCUUUUGUUAGGGGAGAAACCUGUAGUGUUAACAGCGCUACAGCUGACGGUACCUGACGAAUAAGCCACGGCAAACCCCGUGCCAGCAGCCGCGGUAAUACGGGGGUGGCAAGCGUUACUCGGAAUUAUUGGGUGUAAAGGGCAGGUAGGUGGCUUGGCAAGUGAGGGGUGAAAUCCUGCGGUUCAAUCGCAGAACUGCCUUUCAAACUGCUAAGCUUGAGAGUAAUAGAGGAAGAUGGAAUUUCUGGUGUAAGGGUGAAAUCUGUAGAUAUCAGAAAGAACACCAACGGCGAAGGCAAUCUUCUGGGUUAUUUCUGACACUGAACUGCGAAAGCUAGGGGAGCAAACAGA